AGAGGAAGAAGGGAAGAAUUCUCAUGCAAAAAGGGAGAAGAAUUAGAGAAAGGAAGAAGAAGAAGGAGAAGAAGAAUAAAGAGAAGGCAGAGAUCUUAGAGAAGAAGGAGAAGAAUUAGAGGGAAGAAGAGAGGAGGAGAGAAGAAUAGAAGGAACCUAGUAUUUGGGGAGAGUAAUCUGCCAUGGAUGCAACUCCCACGAAGCAAGUUUCAGUUGUUGCCCAUUGAUCUAACAACUCUGAUACCAAUUUGUUACAUAUCAGCCUGCAUUUACUGAAACAGAGGAAUAAGGAGAGAAAGAGAUAGAAAUAGAUAAGAAAAAGAAAAGAGGAGAGAGUAGAUGA
Molecule: unclassified non-coding RNA, 343 nt
Filed under: Hevea brasiliensis (rubber tree)
Lineage: Eukaryota; Viridiplantae; Streptophyta; Magnoliopsida; Malpighiales; Euphorbiaceae
Source: RNAcentral